UUGUCCCCGCCCACAGCCCCCCUUCUGCUUCUGGGCACUCCCCCUUAACCACUGGGGAGGGGGCAGUUAAAGGAAUAUCACCACUCAGGUUUAUUAAGCACCGAAACCAUUUUUAAUAUUUUAAUAAUUAUAACAGGGAUGUACAACUGGAUACUCGGAUGCAUUUCAUGGACAAGUAUUUUCAAAGUCUAAAGUCUCACUAGUUCUCCAGGCUUUAUUAGGAAAUCAUUACUGCCCGGUCAUUCUUCCUCUUUCCCCAUGAUGACAAUAAAUCCCAUAUAGAAUAGGGGAAUAAUGAAAACCUGGAUCUAUUGAUGACAGCUAAUGUCAUGUAUGUACCUAUUACACUCGCUGGGUAUGAGUAGGUUUCCCCUGUCCCACACACCCCUCUAACCAUAUUCCACAUGCAAUAACAUCACAUGAAUGCCCCCUACUAAGCCUGGCACAAUGCAAAUAAACAGACAGCUAAAAUAAAACACAGAUUUGAAAUGAUCAUGGAUGGGGGGUGUGAUUGAAAGGGGCAAUCUAACUUUAAGGUGGGUUGCUCAUGGACUUGCCUACUUCCACUGAGUUUCUGAUUUCCCUGCAGAUAGAAAACAACAUGGGCAGGAUGUUUAUACAGCUGAAUGUAAACAUUUUCUCCAGUUCUUUAAUAAUAAAAAAAAACAGCUAAAACCCGGCUAGUCUCAUUAGUGCUCCUUUCUGAGGCAUAGAAACCGUGCUUUGUGUCUUCCCUGUUGUUUGUUUCACUCUGAUUUUAUUUCUAAAGCGGAGAGCACAGGGCUGUGAUGGCUACCUUCUUUUUCAUCUUCUUCUUCUUCUUCAAAGCAAUCUGCUCAGCUCGGAGAUAGACAUCAAGGUAAUCGUGGGCUCCACUAGAUCCUAGGACACAGGAACCAACUGCUGAAAUCCAAUGGAAUCAAACGGAUUCGUAUAUACUUAAUUGUAGAAUAAAACAUUGAACAUAUCAAAUCUGAACAUACGAACAAGCCUAUUAAUAUUAUUAAAACCAGUUAUUUAUCAGGAAAAGCAAUAUUAGAGGAAUAUUUAUUUUUUGUUUAAUUAAAUAAAAUUGAUUGAAAUGUUUGUAGUGCGCAAAUUCUAAUGACAACGUGACAUCCAAUUUGCCAUAAUGUCAAUUAACCUGUUUUUUUUUUUAUUAGACUUUUACGUUUAUCUCAUUUAUAUUAAACGUUGAAUGUAAAGUUCAUAGAAGAGAGAAAAUAGUUGCAAUCUGAAAUGUCGUCUUCAGAUGUAAUUUGACAAGAUAUUCAAGCGCUGAAAUAAAGUUUUAUGUUUCUAA
Molecule: long non-coding RNA, 1303 nt
Organism: Xenopus laevis (African clawed frog)
Lineage: Eukaryota; Metazoa; Chordata; Amphibia; Anura; Pipidae
Exons: 2
Source: RefSeq, a predicted model, not a curated record